Molecule: ribosomal RNA, 328 nt
Filed under: uncultured eukaryote
Lineage: Eukaryota
Description: partial 18S ribosomal RNA
Rfam family: Eukaryotic small subunit ribosomal RNA
Source: RNAcentral
CCCUUAGAUGUCCGGGGCUGCACGCGCGCUACACUGAAGGAAUCAGCGUGCUAAAACCAUUGUCGAAAGGCAUUGGUAAACCCAUUAAAAUCCUACGUGAUUGGGAUCGGGAAUUGCAAUUAUUUCCCUUGAACGAGGAAUUCCCAGUAAGUGUGGGUCAUGAGCUCGCGUUGAUUACGUCCCUGCCCUUUGUACACACCGCCCGUCGCUGCCCGGGACUGAGCCGUUUCGAGAAAAGCGGGGACUGCUGCUGUCGGGGCUUUCGGGCCUUGGCUUCGGUGGAAACCGCUUUAAUCGCAGUGGCUUGAACCGGGCAAAAGUCGUAACA